RNAcentral lists this ribosomal RNA (497 nucleotides) under uncultured bacterium. Its description in RNAcentral is "partial 16S ribosomal RNA". It matches the Rfam family "Bacterial small subunit ribosomal RNA", at positions 28 to 507 of the family's 1533-position model. The record is from RNAcentral.
GAUGAACGCUGGCGGCGUGCCUAAUACAUGCAAGUCGAGCGAACGGACGAGAAGCUUGCUUCUCUGAUGUUAGCGGCGGACGGGUGAGUAACACGUGGAUAACCUACCUAUAAGACUGGGAUAACUUCGGGAAACCGGAGCUAAUACCGGAUAAUAUUUUGAACCGCAUGGUUCAAAAGUGAAAGACGGUCUUGCUGUCACUUAUAGAUGGAUCCGCGCUGCAUUAGCUAGUUGGUAAGGUAACGGCUUACCAAGGCAACGAUGCAUAGCCGACCUGAGAGGGUGAUCGGCCACACUGGAACUGAGACACGGUCCAGACUCCUACGGGAGGCAGCAGUAGGUAAUCUUCCGCAAUGGGCGAAAGCCUGACGGAGCAACGCCGCGUGAGUGAUGAAGGUCUUCGGAUCGUAAAACUCUGUUAUUAGGGAAGAACACAUGUGUAAGUAACUGUGCACAUCUUGACGGUACCUAAUCAGAAAGCCACGGCUAACUACGUG